AGUGAACGCUGGCGGUAGGCCUAGCACAUGCAAGUCGAACGGCAGCACAGUAAGAGCUUGCUCUUACGGGUGGCGAGUGGCGGACGGGUGAGGAAUACAUCGGAAUCUACUUUUUCGUGGGGGAUAACGUAGGGAAACUUACGCUAAUACCGCAUACGACCUACGGGUGAAAGCAGGGGAUCUUCGGACCUUGCGCGAUUGAAUGAGCCGAUGUCGGAUUAGCUAGUUGGCGGGGUAAAGGCCCACCAAGGCGACGAUCCGUAGCUGGUCUGAGAGGAUGAUCAGCCACACUGGAACUGAGACACGGUCCAGACUCCUACGGGAGGCAGCAGUGGGGAAUAUUGGACAAUGGGCGCAAGCCUGAUCCAGCCAUACCGCGUGGGUGAAGAAGGCCUUCGGGUUGUAAAGCCCUUUUGUUGGGAAAGAAAAGCAGCAGGUUAAUACCCCGCUGUUCUGACGGUACCCAAAGAAUAAACACCGGCUAACUUCGU
This 491-nucleotide ribosomal RNA is filed under the name uncultured bacterium. RNAcentral's name for it is "partial 16S ribosomal RNA". It matches the Rfam family "Bacterial small subunit ribosomal RNA", at positions 29 to 506 of the family's 1533-position model. The record is from RNAcentral.